GAGAAACAUCAGUGACGAAGGAGGCUCACUGGACCAUUACUGACGCUGAGGUGCGUAUGCGUGGGGAGCAAACAGGAUUAGAUACCCUCGUAGUCCACGCCGUAACCGAUGAAUGUUAGCCGUCCGGGGGUUUACCUUUCGGUGGCGCAGCUAACGCAUUAAACAUUCCGCCUGGGGAGUACGGUCGCAAGAUUAAAACUCAACCGAAUUGACGGGGGCCCGCACUAGCGGUGGAGCAUGUGGUGUAAUUCGAAGCAAUGCGCAGAACCUUACCCGCCCUUGACAUACCGGUUGCGGACCCAGAGAUGUGUCUUUCAGUUCGGCUGGACCGGAUACAGGUACUGCAUGGCUGUCGUCAGCUCGUGUCGUGAGAUGUUGGGUUAAGUCCCGCAACGAGCGCAACCCUCCCCCUUUAGUUGCCAGCAUUUAGUUGGGCACUCUAAGGGGACUGCCGGUGAUAAGCCGAGAGGAAGGUGGGGAUGAAGUCAAGUCCUAAUGGCCCUUACGGG
Molecule: ribosomal RNA, 509 nt
Filed under: Ochrobactrum sp.
Lineage: Bacteria; Pseudomonadati; Pseudomonadota; Alphaproteobacteria; Hyphomicrobiales; Brucellaceae
Description: bacterial SSU rRNA
Rfam family: Bacterial small subunit ribosomal RNA
Source: RNAcentral